ACGUGCGACUGACGGAUCAGUGGAAUUAACCACAGGGAGCACGAUACAAUUUGAAGCCGACCGUCUGGGCACCGC
RNAcentral lists this non-coding RNA (75 nucleotides) under uncultured Lacrimispora sp. RNAcentral describes it as "ZMP/ZTP riboswitch". It matches the Rfam family "ZMP/ZTP riboswitch aptamer (pfl RNA motif)", at positions 7 to 82 of the family's 86-position model. Rfam says of the family: Previously known as pfl RNA. ZMP is also known as AICAR. The record is from RNAcentral. Lineage: Bacteria; Bacillati; Bacillota; Clostridia; Lachnospirales; Lachnospiraceae.